Molecule: long non-coding RNA, 343 nt
Organism: Salvia miltiorrhiza (redroot sage)
Lineage: Eukaryota; Viridiplantae; Streptophyta; Magnoliopsida; Lamiales; Lamiaceae
Exons: 2
Source: RefSeq, a predicted model, not a curated record
AGGUCCUUUUGGGAAGUAACGACUUGAGGGAGAGAGUGACGUUACUCAUUGAUACAGAGACACAACGAGGUUGAGCUGAUGUGAUGAUGGUGCUGCAAUGAGCGGAGUCUCCAGGGUUGUUAAUAAAUAGUUAACCUGUCUAGAAUAUGUCUUCAUACAUAUGUCUAGCUACUUUCCGCUGCAAGAUGUUGUUGAUGUUAUAGUAUGUUAUGUCAUACUUUGAGUUUUAAGAGAAUGGUUUCAUAUGAUGUAUAACUUGAUUAAUGAUAUUAAUUAAGUUUUAUGCUGUCUUUCAUAGACUGUUUUCAAUUGAGUAUUAAUGAAUAAAAAUGACGAGUUUUAU